This 253-nucleotide ribosomal RNA is filed under the name uncultured bacterium. RNAcentral describes it as "partial 16S ribosomal RNA". It matches the Rfam family "Bacterial small subunit ribosomal RNA", at positions 524 to 776 of the family's 1533-position model. The record is from RNAcentral.
UACGUAGGGGGCUAGCGUUGUCCGGAAUCAUUGGGCGUAAAGCGCGUGUAGGCGGUCCGGUAAGUCCGCUGUGAAAGUCGAGGGCUCAACCCUCGAAUGCCGGUGGAUACUGUCGGGCUAGAGUGCGGAAGAGGCGAGUGGAAUUCCUGGUGUAGCGGUGGAAUGCGCAGAUAUCAGGAGGAACACCGAUGGCGAAGGCAGCUCGCUGGAACGUAACUGACGCUGAGACGCGAAAGCGUGGGGAGCAAACAGG